CGGUGGUCUAAAAUGACUUCGUUUUUUUUUGGUGUCCCUUUGCCCCAUUUUCAUUUCUCUCUCAUUUGUUAAACGCUACCUCGCCAAUACAAAGAUAGGCGAACAGAGGGAGGCCAGGGCAAAAUGACGGAGGUUGAUGGCGAUGGCGGCUAGUUGGUGAGGCGGUGGCGGCUAAUCGGCAAGGCUGAGGUUGUGACGAGGGGCGAUGGCGGCUAGUCGGCGAGGCUGCGGCUGUGACGCGAGGCAAUGGCGAGUCAAUCUCAACUCCACCACUUAUGAUGAUCAAGAUGUUCCCAGCCGUCCCAUGAUGACAAAUGAAGGGUCAUCAAUGAGAUGGACUUCUUCGCCGACGAUGAACACCACCACUCCAAGGCGACAGCCUCCACAGGCGAUGAAAAGGACUUGCCUGGACCUGCCCAAUUGGAUUUCAAUGUCAAGCUGUAAGUUUUGGAGGAACAAAUAUUGAUCCGAUGGCAUGGGAGCACAAAAAAACCUCGGGAAUCCCGUUUCCCUGCUCUGACACUUUCAGGUUGAGACACUAUUGACCUUCAACCUCUAAUUAUGGACAGUAUUAUCAUUUUUGGUCACAUUGUUGUGCAUGCUCCUCAUUGGAGAUACAUAGAAGUUGAUACAAAGACUUUUUGGAAAGUGAUGAGGCGCUCCUACGAAUUCUAAGAAAGAACAAGUUUGAAACUCAUAUUUAUUUUUUGUGAAAAGAGUACAUAUGCUAGCUACGAUCUAGAUUUUGUAAAGUUUCCUAUCAAUGUGAAUUUUAGUUUUGUAAA
Molecule: non-coding RNA, 785 nt
Organism: Camellia sinensis
Lineage: Eukaryota; Viridiplantae; Streptophyta; Magnoliopsida; Ericales; Theaceae
Source: RefSeq, a predicted model, not a curated record